RNAcentral lists this long non-coding RNA (519 nucleotides) under Crocodylus porosus (Australian saltwater crocodile). RNAcentral's name for it is "lncRNA (ENSCPRG00005011155.1)". The record is from RNAcentral. Lineage: Eukaryota; Metazoa; Chordata; Crocodylia; Crocodylidae.
AGACCCCGACCCUCGCCGAGGUAAAGGGGAGCACCAUUGGGACUCACCGUGCGGAGGCUCGGGCGAGGGUGUAGGGGAGGCAGGAGCCCUCGAAGACCCCAGACCGGAUUGGACAGGAGACCCAUUUUUGGACGUGCACCCGCCAAGGAAAAUCACUGAACCAAUACCAUCAAAGUCGUGGCAGGCGGACUUGGCGGGAGCAGACUGGGAGCGGGAGUCACUCCAGAGCACGUAAGGGGGGGGCAGGACCCCACGCCGACCCACGGGUGCUUGAUUCGCGCCCUUACAGGUGGACCCGUGGACAGAGGGGAAACCAGUUGGGAGGCAGCAGCUUAUCAGGAUUGUCCCUGAAGUCGUCCUCCCACUGCGCUGAGGACCCCCGAGCCCUCAGCAGGGACGAUCAACUGGAUAACAUCGUGUGAGGAAUUACUUGAAGAGUGCGCUUAUAUUAGUGGUAGUUUGUAAACUUUUUUACUGCACACUAUGUUGGAUGAAAUUACUUAAUAAAGAUGGUUGUAU